CCUACGGGAGGCUGCAGUGGGGAAUAUUGCACAAUGGGGGAAACCCUGAUGCAGCGACGCCGCGUGAGUGAAGAAGUAUUUCUGUAUUGAAGCUCUCUCUUCUGGGAAGAAAAAGACGGUACCUGAUAAAGAAGCCCCGGCUAACUACGUGCCAGCAGCCGCGGGAAUACGUAGGGGGCAAGCGUUAUCCGGAUUUACUGGGUGUAAAGGGUGCGUAGGCGGCAGGACAAGUCUGGAGUGAAAUGCCGGGGCUUAACCCCGGAACUGCUUUUGAAACUGUGCAGCUAGAGUGCAGGAGAGGUAAGGGGAAUUCCUAGUGUAGCGGUGAAAUGCGUAGAUAUUAGGAGGAACACCAGUGGCGAAGGCGGCUUACUGGACUGUAACUGACGUUGAGGCACGAAAGCGUGGGGAGCAAACAGGAUUAGAUACCCGGGUAGUC
Molecule: ribosomal RNA, 439 nt
Filed under: uncultured bacterium
Lineage: Bacteria
Description: partial 16S ribosomal RNA
Rfam family: Bacterial small subunit ribosomal RNA
Source: RNAcentral